CACGGGGGGAGCAAGCGUUGUUCGGAAUCACUGGGCGUAAAGGGCGUGUAGGCGGUUGGGUAAGUGAGAUGUGAAAUCCCUCGGCUCACCCGAGGACCUGCAUCUCAUACUGCCCGACUCGAGUAUGGGAGAGGAUGAGGGAAUUCCUGGUGUAGCGGUGAAAUGCGUAGAUAUCAGGAGGAACACCGGUGGCGAAAGCGCUCAUCUGGCCCAAUACUGACGCUGAGGCGCGAAAGCUAGGGGAGCAAACGGG
RNAcentral lists this ribosomal RNA (253 nucleotides) under uncultured bacterium. RNAcentral's name for it is "partial 16S ribosomal RNA". It matches the Rfam family "Bacterial small subunit ribosomal RNA", at positions 524 to 776 of the family's 1533-position model. The record is from RNAcentral.